GGAAAAUUCACGGAGGUAACCUGGGCUUCAAUUGGUCUGUCAGCUGCUUUGACUGCUUUGGGCAUCUUUGAAUACAACAAGCCAUGUCCUCGUUGGACACUGGGAAAGGACAAUCUAUCUGCACAUCCAGCCCUAUGGGCUGGAGUCUCCCAAACGAGGCCAUCGUUUGUUUUGGCAACUCUGCUCCACCACAACAUUCAUCAGACUCCUGAGAAAGACGACCGAUGAAGGGAUCCAUAAAUGGUAAGACCAUCUCGCACUUAGCUGUGUUUGGUAAAAGGGAGAUAUUAGGAAACUGGGCCUUUAAGGUUUUGCUUGCACCCUGUUUGUGGAAUGGUACGUGUGUCUAUGUAUGUUGUAAAUGUGAGAUAGUUUCUCUACCUCCGGGUGGUGGUUGUGAAAAUUAAUUUGUAAAAGUGCUCUACUUAGCUGGUUUGAAGGCAAGUGCUUGUAAGAACUGGGUGUUCUAGGGGCGCCUGGGUGGCUCGCUCGGUUAAGCGUCUGACUUCAGCCCAGGUCAUGAUCUUGUGGUCUGUGGGUUCGAGCCCCACGUAGGGCUCUGUGCUGAGGGCUCAGAGACUGGAGCCUGCUUGAGAUUCUGUGUCUCCCUCUCUCUCUAAUCCUCCCCCAUUCACGCUCUGUCUCUGUCUGUCUCUCUCUCUCUCUCAAAAGUAAAUAAACAUUAAAAAAAUUAAAAGAAAAAAAAGAACUGGGCGUUCUAAAACUCAGAAAGAUAGAAACUAACCCCAGGUGUCUUUCAAGUUCAAGUGAUCUUGGAAGAUAUUUGGUUCGAAAGCUAAUGUAACGAUGUUUGUUUAGUUAAAAUGGACAUAAGUCUUUAGAAUUGCCAACAUUAAAUGUGAUAGUUUCACUCUGCUUGUGUUUACUGUAAGUCAAACCAGCUGUUGGCGUUGUGACUGUCACAAAAUGUGAUGGAAAAGAGAAAGACGUUAGAGCCCUGUCCAAUGGCUUCUGAAGCUUUACGGGCAAGCGAAGGACAGACAGACAGAUGUAAAUAAUUUUAACAAAUGUAAUUAAGGCUACUUGACCAAAUAAGGGAAAAAAUUCUGUAUUUAGUGAAAGUGAGACUGGUUAUUCAAAGAGGGAAAACUUGGGGUACCUGGGUGGCUCAGUCUGUUGAGCAUCCCGCUCCUGACCUCUGCGCAAGUCAUAAUCCCAGAGUUGUGGGAUUGAGCCCCGUGUCAGGCUCCAAGUGGAGCCUGCUUGAGAUUCUCUCUGUGUGUGUCUCUCUGUGUCUCUCUCUCCCCCCCUCCCCCGCUUGUGCUCUCUCUCUCUCUCAAACAAAAUUUAAAAAAAAAACAAAGAGGGGAAAACGUAGGACAAAAUCUGAAGGAAUGCGAAAGGGAAAAUUGCAGAAGGUUUGCGAGAAGGGAAUCUUUCGAAAGAAAUGCUAUGCAUGGUCGGGGCCGAGAUUCUGGAGUUUCGCAUGUAAGAAACAAGUUUAUGAGGGCAGCGAUCGACCCCCGGGGAAGAGAAGGGGGAGGCAGAGAACGAUGUCAGGCAGAAGUUGAGCAGUGACACUUCAACGGAAGCCUUAGCCGACUCUCUGAGCCGUCCCGAAAGUUGGACUGCCCUUCGGAAGCAUCCAAACUUAGGUGGAAGGGGCUGGCUCUUCGUAAGCGUCUUUGGAUGUGACCACCUGGGCAGCGGGCAAUGCCCUUGGCAAGGCCGCUGCCUACAGUCACGGCGAUCCCUGAUGAUGUCUGAGCGUCGAAGGCUGUAGGCAGCAUUGCUAUGGCUGGGAGACCUGGGUUCCUGCCGGACAUUCUGGUCAGCGCAUCCCAACACCCGCCACAAGAACUCAGACCCAUGCAGUGCCCUGGAUGUCCUUGUCCAAAUAAGUAUGUAUCAACGUGGGAGGUGACACGGAGGAAGAAAGAAGGGACUGCAUAUCUUUUUAAAAAUUCAUCUUGUUGCAACGAAUGAGUUUUAAUAUCAAAGUACAGCGGUAUAAGACUGGAAUUUGGGUUUUCUCGCUGUUCAUGUGACAGAGGCUUCUUAGAUGAUGGGUCUAAAUUAUCAACAGAGGUUUUUCUUUAUCUUUAAGCUGCCUAGAAAAACAAAGUUUCUAUGUCUUGUCUCUGUUAGGUCUUUGCUUCCUUAAGAAAGUUGAAUCUGCUCAGUGUUAAGAGAGCUAAGGUUUGCUCACAGCUCCAUUUACCUUGCUGUCUGCAUUUACCUUGAGAAUCUCUUCUUGCCAUCCCGGCUAAAUAAGUAUCCUGUUUUGUAGUGAUCUGUAAUCCUAUUUAGGCACGUGUUUUGAAACCUUCUGGUAUUUCACCAACUUCCAAAAACCCAGCUUGUGAAUGGAAGUCUUUUUGACGAAUUAGGCUUAUUCCCUGGUGUGUCAAAUGACAUGGGAGGCAUCAUCAAAUAAGCGAUGAGGAACCUUCUUAGGCUUUGUUGUAUGGGUGAUUGCUCUAAGUGUCCUAGAGAUUUUAUAAGAUUCCUAAGGGUUUGAUAUGUCCUGGUAUAGCGUCAUCGCUUGUAAUACUAACUACUGAAGUAGCGUGUGUCACAGAAUCUCCUUGCCAGCUGCACUGCAUUGACAAAUACAGCUCUCUGAUCCCUUCAGGAUCAUAAAGCUAAGCUUAGUAAGAAGUCCCAGAACUAAUGGGGAAACUGCUUUCAAACAGACCCUUGUGUAAACAUUGCUGGUCCUCUAAUGUUUGCUCUUCUAAAUUUAAGUCUGCCUAUGACAUUUGGCAGACGUUGGGUAAAUAAUUUCUUCAUACACAGAUAGGAAACAUUUAUCCCUUUCUCCCUACGUGGUAUCACCAGAAUUCAAAACUCUCAGGGAGUAUUCUCGUAUUUUCACGGCAGUGUAUUUAUUUGCAGAAGUUCGAUACGAAUCCGUUCUCCUUGCAACAGGACGCCACUGGAAACAUUGGUCAUGUUGCCAAGGCUUUGACUGGAAUGUCAUAGUUGAGGGAGAUAUGCCUAGACUCAGCUACAAUCAGAGAGCUUUAAGGAGCUAAUUACGGUUGACUUUGCCGAGCCAAUGAAGCCCCUUGGAAAACUGGCCUCGUACCUUGCUUACAAAGUUUCCAGCAGCCCUACCAGGUGAAUAAGGAAGGUCGUCACUUCCUGGCAGGUGCAGGAACCUCAGGGUAUUUGGGGGAUCUCGAGAAGAGAGGGAGCCACCCACACCUAUAGGUAUGGCAGGCAAAGGCUGAUGGCCAGUAUUUGGCUUGGCUUCUUUAGCCUGACAAGGCUGUUAAAAGUUCAAUCUGACAUUCCUUACGAAAAGUUCCAGCGAAGCAGAUUGAAAAACCCAACACCUAUAUGACCAAUCACCGUUGUGAUGGCGCUUGUGUAAACAGGCCCAGCUUCAACUGGACAAUUUCACAAACAAACGUGUCCUAAUCUGGCUCUCUUUGGUGGAGAUGAGGGUGGUUUCAGAGAGAGAGAUUGUUCCAGUAACACACCUGUGAAAAUGUAAGAUCAUGGUUCUGAUGAGCCGUCUGGGAGGCUUCGUUGGUUGUCUAUACACCUGGGCUGGGUCCUGACUUCUUCUGGUUUCCUUGAAUAUCUGACCCUGACUCUCCAAACUAAGGUUUCCAGUUUUCUCCCACCGUGUGGACUGGAAGCCCUGAGAACGAACACUGCUUUUCCCUGAAGCCCCGCAAACCGAAGCCAGGCCAGCCGAGGUACACGUGAGAGAAAAGUGGCCCGGUGACCUAAGGGCCACUCAGAAAGAUCACCAGAGACACACGGAGAGCUGAACAAGCUGAUCGCAGCCAUCCCGACUGGACAAGCUGCCAUCGGAGCAUCCAGACGUGGACGUGUUCACGGAUGGGGACCGUGUCACGGGUCAAAGACAAGGAAGAGCUGGGUGCAGUGGUGACCCAUCAGCUACCGUCCGCUGCGGAAGACGCCACAAAGUGGACCGACUGCCCAAGGGAACCAUGCUGGCAGCCCGUCAAAGACUCCAAGACCCUCUGGAAGAGCUCUCGUGCCAAAGAUAGACUUAACUACAUAUCAACCCCAACGUCCCUUGGAGGACCAAAGAGGAGUUAAGUAAGGAGUGGGGGUUUGGACACCGUGCUGGCCUUGACACCGGCUGGAAAUAGAAGGAAUCCUUACCCUAGAGCAUCUGAUGAAAGAAAUAAUUAGCCACAUUCCUCGAAGCACCCGUUAUGGGAAAGAUGCCCCUCUCCAGUGGAUCCAGAAGUAUACUGCGGGCUCCGAUUUCAGCGAAAUGCUACAAAAGGCAACGCUUGUGCUAAAAACAAUCCUAAGACUGGGUGCCCACAAGUUCUCAAGGGUAUACAACUGAGACGCCCCAAACCUGGGGAAGACCGGCACGCAGCCUUUCCCAGAAUGCAAAGAACAAUGGGAAAUUCUCGGGGUUUGCUUGUAUCUGCAGACACCUUUAUCAACGGGGUUGAGGUUCCUCCCUGCUGUUCAGAGAAGGCCUCGGGAGUGGUCAAAAUGCUUUGAAGCGAGAUCAUUUCUAGGUUUGGACUGCCGCUAAUAAUUCAGAGUGACAAUGGAGUGACAACCACAGCGUCCAAGGCCUUGGGCAUUCAGUGGAAAUCACACGCUUCCUGGAGACACCGAGAGAGUGGAAAAAGGGAAAAAAAUGAACUUUGGCAAAGCUCUGCCAAGAAACCCACUUCACUUGGGAACAACCCGUGCCAUCUGCCCUGCUUUGGGAAAGAGUGGUCCCUAGAAGAGGGCUUGGUUUAAGCCCCUGUGGAAUGUUAUAUGCAAGACUUUCUAUGUUCUUUUCGUGACCUAGGAGGUGCUGGCGGGGCUCCCACCAGCGAUUUGGAUACUAUCAGGUACAUCCAGGGCCUGAGUUUGCUUCCGGCAGGCUGAUGUACCUCACAGAUGUGUCUUCACGCUGCCUGAAUCCCUUGGUGACAUCCAAAGGUGUCACUAAAGAUGUCACUAAAGACCUGAAGAGCGGGAGCCCAGAGGACCAGCUCCAGCCUCACUGGACAGCAGGAAGUAACGGCCGCGGCCGGGUCGUGGUCCCAAUACCCACAAGAAUGAGGACGGAUCAAAAGACCCUGGGGACUGAAAAGGGUAACCAAAGGGCUAGCAGCCGCAACUCUGUACCCUGACCUUUUUCCUUCGCCACUAAGUACCCCUGACUCUCCUCCUCUAGGGAGGUGGAUGUGAGGCUCGCCCUCCUGCCUCUGGAAUAAACUCUUGCUUUGCUUUA
Molecule: long non-coding RNA, 5194 nt
Organism: Felis catus (domestic cat)
Lineage: Eukaryota; Metazoa; Chordata; Mammalia; Carnivora; Felidae
Exons: 2
Source: RefSeq, a predicted model, not a curated record